GCCUAACACAUGCAAGUCGAACGAGUAACAGGAAACAGCUUGCUGUUUCGCUGACGAGUGGCGGACGGGUGAGUAAUGUCUGGGAAACUGCCUGAUGGAGGGGGAUAACCACUGGAAACGGUAGCUAAUACCGCAUAACGUCGCAAGACCAAAGAGGGGGACCCUCGGGCCUCUUGCCAUCGGAUGUGCCCAGAUGGGAUUAGCUUGUUGGUGGGGUAACGGCUCACCAAGGCGACGAUCCCUAGCUGGUCUGAGAGGAUGACCAGCCACACUGGAACUGAGACACGGUCCAGACUCCUACGGGAGGCAGCAGUGGGGAAUAUUGCACAAUGGGCGCAAGCCUGAUGCAGCCAUGCCGCGUGUAUGAAGAAGGCCUUCGGGUUGUAAAGUACUUUCAGCGGGG
This 403-nucleotide ribosomal RNA is filed under the name uncultured Pseudomonadota bacterium. Its description in RNAcentral is "bacterial SSU rRNA". It matches the Rfam family "Bacterial small subunit ribosomal RNA", at positions 46 to 444 of the family's 1533-position model. Lineage: Bacteria; Pseudomonadati; Pseudomonadota. The record is from RNAcentral.